Molecule: ribosomal RNA, 663 nt
Filed under: uncultured Pseudomonadota bacterium
Lineage: Bacteria; Pseudomonadati; Pseudomonadota
Description: bacterial SSU rRNA
Rfam family: Bacterial small subunit ribosomal RNA
Source: RNAcentral
UAACAGGAAACAGCUUGCUGUUUCGCUGACGAGUGGCGGACGGGUGAGUAAUGUCUGGGAAACUGCCUGAUGGAGGGGGAUAACUACUGGAAACGGUAGCUAAUACCGCAUAAUGUCGCAAGACCAAAGAGGGGGACCUUCGGGCCUCUUGCCAUCGGAUGUGCCCAGAUGGGAUUAGCUAGUAGGUGGGGUAACGGCUCACCUAGGCGACGAUCCCUAGCUGGUCUGAGAGGAUGACCAGCCACACUGGAACUGAGACACGGUCCAGACUCCUACGGGAGGCAGCAGUGGGGAAUAUUGCACAAUGGGCGCAAGCCUGAUGCAGCCAUGCCGCGUGUAUGAAGAAGGCCUUCGGGUUGUAAAGUACUUUCAGCGGGGAGGAAGGGAGUAAAGUUAAUACCUUUGCUCAUUGACGUUACCCGCAGAAGAAGCACCGGCUAACUCCGUGCCAGCAGCCGCGGUAAUACGGAGGGUGCAAGCGUUAAUCGGAAUUACUGGGCGUAAAGCGCACGCAGGCGGUUUGUUAAGUCAGAUGUGAAAUCCCCGGGCUCAACCUGGGAACUGCAUCUGAUACUGGCAAGCUUGAGUCUCGUAGAGGGGGGUAGAAUUCCAGGUGUAGCGGUGAAAUGCGUGGAGAUCUGGAGGAAUACCGGUGGCGAAGGC